Molecule: long non-coding RNA, 1156 nt
Organism: Mustela erminea (ermine)
Lineage: Eukaryota; Metazoa; Chordata; Mammalia; Carnivora; Mustelidae
Exons: 5
Source: RefSeq, a predicted model, not a curated record
CGUACUGAGAGUCGUUUCAGAACCUGGCUCCCAGCUCGGGAGUGCAGACUCUGCCCCCUUCUUCUCGCCGCUCAAGCACAUCUGAGUGAGACAACGAACUUCCGCUCUUUUCCCAGAGCCGCCAGCUCGGUGCAGGGUCUUGUUUAAAAGGAAAGAAAAGAAAAGAAAUGACAAAGAUCUCACUGGCCUUUAGAAGAUCAUAACCAAAAAUAAUCAAAACCACUUGCCUCGGAUCAGUGCUUUGCAGUUUACAUUCUUUGGCUAAAUAAGACAUGCAAAUAAACAGUGAACACGUUCGGUAGAAGAGCUACAGACGAGUGCCCAUGGACUCCUGGCCACUGAAAGCUUCAGACUCUGUUUACCCGUGCGUCCAUCCACUGCUUAGUCGCGGAGUCGCCCCGCUUGCUGACGGCGUCCAGCCUGGGCAGGACCCCACGUCUCAGGAGGACCCAAGGCAAGCCGCAGCCCGUCCCCAGAAAGCCCCUUCUGAUCAGUUCUCACUAGAACGUCGCCGGCUGCACUGAGGGAGGCCCCCACGGGCGCAGGAACAGGUGCACUCCCGGCGGUCUUUGGCUGGACAGUAGUGACGGUCGCGGGGUUCCGGCCCCGCAGUCCCCACCCGGCCUGGGACCAGCGCCUUCCCAUGAAGAGUCUAUCCCCAGGCCAGCCCAGCAACCUGCCAGGACAUCAGGGAAGGAAAGCCGAGGAGAAGACACUCCUUGCGUCCUGCCCGUGUCUCUCUGCCCAGACAAAGCACAUCAGGACAGAUCAAAGAGAAGGAAGAGAAGCACACACGGGGGAGAUUAUACUCUGAAGCUGCGGGAACAGCCACACGUACGGAGUUCUGGAGCUGGGAUGUGUCACCUUCCCCGUAUGUGGAUGUGGUCCCCGAUGUGGAAGCUCUCCGAGCCCCCGACUUAUUUUUUUUAAAUGAAAGCUUCAUCAUGUGGGCAUCACGUGUCAUUAACUCUGUUGGCAGACUCUCCCUUCUCCAGAGAAUGCUGGUGGAGCUGAAGUUUCGAGGUUCUAAUCAUGGCUGUCUCUGUUUUAAAAGGAGCCCACCCAGGAUCACCUCAUAAAAAUAACAGGUGCAUCCAUCCCAGGAAAGUACAAGAGUUUAGGAUCCCCAGGUCAGACACUGGGGUCAAGCACCCAC